UACGCAGGGGGCAAGCGUUGUCCGGAAUUAUUGGGCGUAAAGCGCGCGCAGGCGGUCUUUUAAGUCAGGUGUUUAAGCCCGGGGCUCAACCCCGGUUCGCAUCUGAAACUGGAAGGCUUGAGUACAGAAGAGGAAAGUGGAAUUCCACGUGUAGCGAUGAAAUGCGUAGAGAUGUGGAGGUACACCAGUGGCGAAGGCGACUUUCUGGUCUGUAACUGACGCUGAGGCGCGAAAGCGUGGGGAGCAAACAGG
Molecule: unclassified non-coding RNA, 252 nt
Filed under: uncultured Paenibacillaceae bacterium
Lineage: Bacteria; Bacillati; Bacillota; Bacilli; Caryophanales; Paenibacillaceae
Description: contains 16S-23S intergenic spacer region
Rfam family: Bacterial small subunit ribosomal RNA
Source: RNAcentral